AGAGUUGUCCUGGCUUAGGACGAACGCUGGCGGCGUGCUUAACACAUGCAAGUCGAACGAGGAUAUACCAGAGGAGAGCUUCGGCAGGAAUCGGGUAUAUUCGAGUGGCGGACGGGUGAGUAACGCGUGAGCAACCUGUCCCAGACAGGGGGAUAACACUUGGAAACAGGUGCUAAUACCGCAUAAGACCACGGUAUCACAUGGUAGUGGGGUAAAAGGAGCAAUCCGGUUUGGGGUGGGCUCGCGUCCGAUUAGAUAGUUGGUGAGGUAACGGCCCACCAAGUCGACGAUCGGUAGCCGACCUGAGAGGGUGAUCGGCCACAUUGGAACUGAGAGACGGUCCAAACUCCUACGGGAGGCAGCAGUGGGGAAUAUUGGGCAAUGGGCGAAAGCCCUGACCCAGCAACGCCGCGUGAGUGAAGAAGGCCUUCGGGUUGUAAAGCUCUGUUAUAGUUGACGAAGGAAGUGACGGUAGGCUAUAAGGAAGCCCCGGCUAACUACGUGCCAGCCGCCGC
Molecule: ribosomal RNA, 515 nt
Filed under: uncultured bacterium
Lineage: Bacteria
Description: bacterial SSU rRNA
Rfam family: Bacterial small subunit ribosomal RNA
Source: RNAcentral